GCCGGACUCUUUGAGUCUGAUUUUGCUGGAAACGGGAAGGAAGAAGACUCCGACUAGGAGUCUUCCUCCUCCUCUGUAUUUUUUUUUUUUGUUGAGCCGUCUGGGCUACAGGCCCAAGUAACUGGGCUGUUACAAUUACUGUCACCAUAGGCAUUUUUAGGCGACAGUAUUAUAUUUUCUGUUACCUAAAGCUAUAUCUAUGUUGAUGAAACUCUAUCUUCGUCACUAAAUGCUGAACCACCCUACCAA
This 249-nucleotide long non-coding RNA is filed under the name Elaeis guineensis (African oil palm). RNAcentral describes it as "long non-coding RNA (EGUI_LNC009100)". Lineage: Eukaryota; Viridiplantae; Streptophyta; Magnoliopsida; Arecales; Arecaceae. The record is from RNAcentral.